CACCUAUGGCCAUUCGCUAAUAUUUGCAUGAUCUGGACUGAAGAUGGCCGGAAAAAAUCAAAUGAAAAUCUUGGAGUGGCAUGAACUGGAGUGCUAUCUCUCUACAUGGAAGAAGACACCAACUCUUCGCGUGCGAGUGGGCUCUCAUGGACGCAGCAUGUCGCUUCUGCUCCAUUGGCUGCAAGGUGAGAUAUCCAUC
RNAcentral lists this long non-coding RNA (199 nucleotides) under Setaria viridis. RNAcentral's name for it is "long non-coding RNA (SVIR_LNC000094)". Lineage: Eukaryota; Viridiplantae; Streptophyta; Magnoliopsida; Poales; Poaceae. The record is from RNAcentral.